ACCCUCCGGAUUCAUUACCCUCAGAUCCGAACAUUGAUGUGAGGGGCAUACGAAAGGGGGAAAAGUAAAACUGAAGCAGACUUGGGAUUAUUUAAAUGACGUGACAAAGGUUCGGUUCAUACACAA
This 126-nucleotide small nucleolar RNA is filed under the name Echinops telfairi (small Madagascar hedgehog). RNAcentral describes it as "Small nucleolar RNA SNORA61 (ENSETEG00000026791.1)". The record is from RNAcentral. Lineage: Eukaryota; Metazoa; Chordata; Mammalia; Afrosoricida; Tenrecidae.